AUUGAACGCUGGCGGCAGGCCUAACACAUGCGAGUCGAGCGGAUGAAGGGAGCUUGCUCCUGGAUUCAGCGGCGGACGGGUGAGUAAUGCCUAGGAAUCUGCCUGGUAGUGGGGGAUAACGUCCGGAAACGGGCGCUAAUACCGCAUACGUCCUGAGGGAGAAAGUGGGGGAUCUUCGGACCUCACGCUAUCAGAUGAGCCUAGGUCGGAUUAGCUAGUUGGUGGGGUAAAGGCCUACCAAGGCGACGAUCCGUAACUGGUCUGAGAGGAUGAUCAGCCACACUGGAACUGAGACACGGUCCAGACUCCUACGGGAGGCAGCAGUGGGGAAUAUUGGACAAUGGGCGAAAGCCUGAUCCAGCCAUGCCGCGUGUGUGAAGAAGGUCUUCGGAUUGUAAAGCACUUUAAGUUGGGAGGAAGGGCAGUAAGUUAAUACCUUGCUGUUUUGACGUUACCAACAGAAUAAGCACCGGCUAACUUCGUG
This 484-nucleotide ribosomal RNA is filed under the name uncultured bacterium. Its description in RNAcentral is "partial 16S ribosomal RNA". It matches the Rfam family "Bacterial small subunit ribosomal RNA", at positions 30 to 507 of the family's 1533-position model. The record is from RNAcentral.